CAGGGGAUCCCACCAAGGAUAAGGCCAAUUCAAAUGCGGGGCUGCGCUCCUAUGAUGCCCUCUGGGGCUGUUCCCAGGUUCCUUGUCAGCAUGACUGAUAACGCUGCAGAACCAACCUCCCCCAGUGACUUCCUGCCCCUUUCAAGAGGGGCCCUGCAGCAGGGGGGUUCUGUUUUGGGACAAAGUAGCUCAAGCUGUGCAUUCCCUCCAAAUGAUUAAGCUUAAUAACACACAGAUGAGUCAUUUGAACAGUGUUUAAAACUCAGUCAUGGCCAAAUUUAAUGCAUCACUUGGACUGAGUAAUCGGGACAUCUCACAAAUCUCAGAAGCAAGCGAGAGCAGAAUCUGGAGCCUGCUCUUUGUGUUUCAGCAGCUCACACUCCAAAUCUAUUUGCAAACAGAUACCGAGAAGCCCGAAAGAGAAUACUUUACAUCUUAAAUCAACUGGAAGGCAUCUAAAGCCAAGGGAUUGAAAUGUCUGCUUUCAUUCCUAGAAAGAGCAGCAACUGGAAAGUGGAAAUGGACAUAAACAAGAGCUUGGAUCCAAACAGCCUCCAAACUUGGAUCUGCCUGAACUCUGCAGCAUACCUCACUGUAUGCAUGGCCUAAAUGUAAGUCAUAAUAUAUAGCAAAGAUGGAAAAUGAAGGGCAAAAAAAGAAUAGGGCACUUAAAAUGUUGCCUGAUUCUUUCCUUCUAGGCAAAUAACUGCUUCCAGAAGCUCAGCACAAUGGUUCUGAAAUAGACACUCUGCAACAAUAAAUGCGAGAAUACGUCAGAGUGAUUGAAACAAUUUUGUAACGAGAGCAAAUAACACCCUGUGAAAUGGGGGACAGUUGAGGAAUAUAUUUGCGGUUCAGGUCUCUCUCUCAAAGGAAGGGUGAAAGUCUGGAUAAAUGAAGUCUUAUAAGCUUUGGAUUUGCUGAGGCCAAGUGUCGCGUGUUGAGUAAAGCAGGAUCAUGUUGCGUUUUUAUUUUGGGGUGUGUAGUACUUCAACUGAACUGUGGUUGUAAACGAAUAAAUAACACUUUAAAUUACA
This is a long non-coding RNA of Gavialis gangeticus (Gharial), 1037 nucleotides long. RefSeq lists it as uncharacterized. The transcript is spliced from 2 exons. The record is from RefSeq and is a predicted model, not a curated record. NCBI's taxonomy places the organism in Eukaryota, Metazoa, Chordata, Crocodylia, Gavialidae.